CGGACGGGUGAGUAAUGCUUGGGAAUCUGGCUCAUGGAGGGGGAUAACUACGGGAAACUGUAGCUAAUACCGCGUAGUAUCGGAAGAUGAAAGUGUGGGACCGCAAGGCCACAUGCCAUGAGAUGAGCCCAAGUGGGAUUAGGUAGUUGGUUAGGUAAAGGCUGACCAAGCCGACGAUCUCUAGCUGGUCUGAGAGGAUGACCAGCCACACUGGAACUGAGACACGGUCCAGACUCCUACGGGAGGCAGCAGUGGGGAAUAUUGCACAAUGGGGGAAACCCUGAUGCAGCCAUGCCGCGUGAAUGAAGAAGGCCUUCGGGUUGUAAAGUUCUUUCGGUGAUGAGGAAGGUGUUUGUUUUAAUAGGACAAGCAAUUGACGUUAGUCACAGAAGAAGCACCGGCUAACUCCGUGCCAGCAGCCGCGGUAAUACGGAGGGUGCGAGCGUUAAUCGGAAUAACUGGGCGUAAAGGGCACGCAGGCGGUGACUUAAGUGAGAUGUGAAAGCCCCGAGCUUAACUUGGGAAUUGCAUUUCAUACUGGGUCGCUAGAGUACUUUAGGGAGGGGUAGAAUUCCACGUGUAGCGGUGAAAUGCGUAGAGAUGUGGAGGAAUACCGAAGGCGAAGGCAGCCCCUUGGGAAUGUACUGACGCUCAUGUGCGAAAGCGUGGGGAGCAAACAGGAUUAGAUACCCUGGUAGUCCACGCUGUAAACGCUGUCGAUUUGGGGAUUGGGCUUAGAGCUUGGUGCCCGUAGCUAACGUGAUAAAUCGACCGCCUGGGGAGUACGGC
This 789-nucleotide ribosomal RNA is filed under the name uncultured Actinobacillus sp. RNAcentral's name for it is "bacterial SSU rRNA". It matches the Rfam family "Bacterial small subunit ribosomal RNA", at positions 99 to 886 of the family's 1533-position model. The record is from RNAcentral. Lineage: Bacteria; Pseudomonadati; Pseudomonadota; Gammaproteobacteria; Pasteurellales; Pasteurellaceae.